AGCUAAGUCGGGAAGGGAUAAACGCUGAAGGCAUCUAAGCGUGAAGCCCACCUCAAGAUAAGAUUUCCCAUAGAGUAAUCUAGUAAGAUCCCUUGAAGAACACAAGGUUGAUAGGUGAGAGGUGUAAGUGUGGUAACAUAUUUAGCUGACUCAUACUAAUAGAUCGAGGGCUUGACCAA
This 179-nucleotide ribosomal RNA is filed under the name Clostridium intestinale URNW. RNAcentral describes it as "partial 23S ribosomal RNA". It matches the Rfam family "Bacterial large subunit ribosomal RNA", at positions 2747 to 2925 of the family's 2925-position model. Lineage: Bacteria; Bacillati; Bacillota; Clostridia; Eubacteriales; Clostridiaceae. The record is from RNAcentral.